Molecule: ribosomal RNA, 253 nt
Filed under: uncultured bacterium
Lineage: Bacteria
Description: partial 16S ribosomal RNA
Rfam family: Bacterial small subunit ribosomal RNA
Source: RNAcentral
UACGGGGGGGGCAAGCGUUGUUCGGAAUUACUGGGCGUAAAGGGCUCGUAGGCGGCCAACUAAGUCAGACGUGAAAUCCCCAGGCUUAACCUGGGAACUGCGUCUGAUACUGGAUGGCUUGAAUUCGGGAGAGGGAUGCAGAAUUCCAGGUGUAGCGGUGAAAUGCGUAGAUAUCUGGAGGAAUACCGGUGGCGGAGGCGGCAUCCUGGACCGACAUUGACGCUGAGGAGCGAAAGCUAGGGGAGCAAACAGG